Molecule: long non-coding RNA, 645 nt
Organism: Callorhinus ursinus (northern fur seal)
Lineage: Eukaryota; Metazoa; Chordata; Mammalia; Carnivora; Otariidae
Source: RefSeq, a predicted model, not a curated record
UCAUGCUAGACCAUUUAAUAGCAUACAUCGGAAAGCAACAUUUUUUGAUUUCAUAUUUUAAACUGAGAACAUCAGUAAAUAUUUUCAGCCACUAGAAGAGUUCUCUUUAUGAAUAUCCAGUAGGCUUGUAUAUUGUGGAGCUGCUUCCCUGCUCUCAGCCACUUCCUGUUGCAUCGGAUCUCCAGAAGACUAGAGAGCUUUCCAUGGGACAACUGUGACAUGGCCCUGAAUAGCCAGGAAUCCACUGCUAAGAUUUCAGCAAGUCUUAUGGCUGAGUCCAUCAGAGUCAUGACAUGAAGAUACCAGUCACAGCACUGCAAUGUGCGAUAAAUGCUAGUUCUUUUCUUUCCUUCAUAUCAAGUCAAUUUAAGUUUGCUCUACUUACCUGGUGUACACAGUCUAAGAACUGCAGGAAGACUGGAGUAAAACCACUACCCUGACAGUUGAGGGUCAAGCUGCUCCGCUGACUGAAUUUAUGACCAAAAGAGAGCCAUUCUUUUUCGACCAACAUCCGGAAGCCUUCAAGUGUCCUAUAAAAGGGAUCACUGAGUAACUGAACCAGGGAUGUCACCUAAGGCACAAGCAGGAUGGAUACUUCAUUACUUUCAGUCCCGAAAAAAUUUUGUUACUAAGGCAGGCAAAGUC